AGGUAGAUAGAUAGGAAGAUGGAUAGAUAGAGGGAUAUAGAUAGGAAGAUGGAUAGAUAGAGGGAUAUAGAUAGGAAAAGAGAUAGAUAGAUAGGAAGAUGGAUAGAUAGAGGAAUAUAGAUAGAUAGAUAGAUAGAUAGGAAGAUGGAUAGAUAGAGGGAUAUAGAUAGAAAGAUAGAUAGAUUGAUAGGAAGAUGGAUAGAUAGAGGGAUAUAGAUAGGAAGAUAGAUAGACAGAUAGGAAGAUGGAUAGAUAGAGGGAUAUAGAUAGAUAGAUAGAUAGACAGAUAGUGGUAUACAUAUAUGGAAGAAAAAAUAAUAAUAUAUAUAAUGAAUAAUACAUGUGUUUACUUGACGGCACACACACACACACACACACACACACACACACACACACACACACACACACACACACACACACACACACACUAACUAGCUCUACGUAAAAAAAUAUAUAUAUGUGUUGACUUCACUACUCCUUUAUAAUGAUCACGUAAUGACAAAAGGUUCGCAGCAUAAUAUUUCGCAAAGCAUUCUUAUGGAUAUUUGGUCAUUAGCAUCUCUCUCUCUCUCUCUCUCUCUCUCUCUCUCUCUCUCUCUCUCUCUCUCUCUCUCUCUCUCUCUCUCUCUCUCUCUCUCUCA
Molecule: long non-coding RNA, 641 nt
Organism: Eriocheir sinensis (Chinese mitten crab)
Lineage: Eukaryota; Metazoa; Arthropoda; Malacostraca; Decapoda; Varunidae
Exons: 2
Source: RefSeq, a predicted model, not a curated record